Sarcophilus harrisii (Tasmanian devil) is the source of this 1798-nucleotide long non-coding RNA. Lineage: Eukaryota; Metazoa; Chordata; Mammalia; Dasyuromorphia; Dasyuridae. The record is from Ensembl.
UGAUCAAUUCUGAUGUUCCUGGCUCUUUCCAAGCAUGAGAUGCUUCAAGACAGUUUCUAUAAUCCUGUGAUAAAGAGAGCCCUCUAUACUGAGAGAGAGAGCACUGGGAACUGAGAGUGGAUCACAGCAUAGCAUCUCCACUCUUUUUGUUGCUGUUUGCUUGCAUUUUGUUUUCUUUCUUAUUUUUAUUUCCUUUUGUGUCUGAUUUUUCUUAUGCAGCAUGAUAAUUAUAUAAAUAUGUAUACAUACACUGAAUUUAACAUAUUUUAGCAUGAUUAACAUAUAUUGACUCACUUGUCAUCUACAGGAGGGAGGGGGACAACGGGAGCAAAAUCUGGAACACAAGGUUUUGUAAAGGUUAAUGUUGAAAAAUUACAAAUUUCUAUGUUUUGAAAAUAAAAAACUUAAGUAAAAAAGAAGGAAAAUAAAAAAAAGGAUAGGGACUUGGCAUUCCCAAACCUAAAAGUAUAAUAUAAGCAGCAGUUCUCCAAACCAUUUACUCUUAACUAACAGAGUGGUUGAUCAGAGGAAUAGAUUCCAGUGAUCAAGGCCUAUAUCUAGAAAAUAUUUGACAAAGCCGCAAACUCCAGCUUCUGGUAUAAAAACUCACUCUUUGAUAAUAAAUCUCAGGGAAAAGUGGAAAAUCCUAUCUCAAAAACUGGGCUUCGACCCAUGGGGUGUGCAUCUCAAAGCUCAUGCCAAAAUAUGGUCUAAAUGGAAGAGAUCUCCACUGAAACCAGAAGUGGUUCCAGAGCCCUGCCCUGGGGCCUCUGAGAAAAGUCUAUCUGGCAGGGGAGGCAGGCUUCCUAGGAGCAAGUGUUCCAAGAGAGAGCUGCGGGGGAGGGGUGGUCCCCAACACCAUCAGGCUUUCCUUGGGUACAUAUUGGCCAGGCUGACAAACCGGCCUAAUGAUUGCUGCCAGCUUGUGUCCAGGGAGAUCGCAGGUUGGACACAGGGAGUGGAGGCUAUUCUUUCCCGAGGGAGCAGUUUGAUGCACAUCAAAGAGAACUGGAUGCUGGCUUGCCUGUGGGAGUGGAACUUGGCCAGAGGGAGUUGAAAGCCCCCAGAGGGGGGAAAGAUGAUGUGCCCUCUCCUUAUUUAGCAUGGGGCUGUCCCUGGGAACUCUGAGAAGGUGUCUAAGAGUCGGGGAGCUUGGAGAGCAGGGCUGUCGUGCCUAAGGACGACUCUCUGUGUGGGGCCACGGCUUGCAGUCAAUCUCGAAUUUCCCCUGCACACUUCCUGGUGAAGUCCUGGCUGUCAGGAUUGCCCUUUCUUUGCAGUUCUGUCAUCCCAGUGAGCAUGGGAGCCCCUGGAAUCAGUAUAGAAGUUCCCUCUCAAUCUUUUCCCCAUUUUAAAGCUUUAUGGAGGACAAUGAGCUUGGCCUUCUGAGCAGAGAUUUCCCAGGGAAGCGGUUUAGCCUCCAAAGUACUUCUGAGAGUCACCAUGGAGUCUCGUAGCUUUCUGUGCCCAUCUUCCCCCAAACUAGACCCAUCAGUGAACCAUUCGCCAUCUAGGUUGGGGAGAGAAGCAUCUCACCUAGAGCAGACUGAAUGGAAAGUUUCCUCACUACGAUGAAUAAUAGCACUGGACUGUGUAGGGUCAGGAAACAGCGGGCCGGGGGGACAAUGGGGACACAGGCAGAAAACUAAAUUGGGAGAAUCUACUAGGAGGCCCUGAUAGUUGAUUAGCCUUUGCUAGCCAGCAACAGAAAUGGCCUGGAGCUUCUAGAAUGCUCUGAAGCCCUUGGGCAGUUUUCCAAAUAGUUCAUAACUGUUGCUCAGUAACUGUUCAAAACUGU